RNAcentral lists this ribosomal RNA (492 nucleotides) under uncultured bacterium. Its description in RNAcentral is "partial 16S ribosomal RNA". It matches the Rfam family "Bacterial small subunit ribosomal RNA", at positions 29 to 507 of the family's 1533-position model. The record is from RNAcentral.
AGUGAACGCUGGCGGUAGGCCUAACACAUGCAAGUCGAACGGCAGCACAGUAAGAGCUUGCUCUUACGGGUGGCGAGUGGCGGACGGGUGAGGAAGACAUCGGAAUCUACUUUUUCGUGGGGGAUAACGUAGGGAAACUUACGCUAAUACCGCAUACGACCUACGGGUGAAAGCAGGGGAUCUUCGGACCUUGCGCGUUUGAAUGAGGCGAUGUCGGAUUAGCUAGUUGGCGGGGUAAAGGCCCACCAAGGCGACGAUCCGGAGCUGGUCUGAGAGGGUGAUCCGGCACACUGGAACUGAGACACGGUCCAGACUCCUACGGGAGGCAGCGGUGGGGAAUAUUGGACAAUGGGCGCAAGCCUGAUCCAGCCAUGCCGCGUGGGUGAAGAAGGCCUUCGGGUUGUAAAGCCCUUUUGUUGGGAAAGAAAAGCAGCAGGUUAAUACCCCGCUGUUCUGACGGUACCCAAAGAAUAAGCACCGGCUAACUUCGUG